This 232-nucleotide ribosomal RNA is filed under the name uncultured bacterium. Its description in RNAcentral is "partial 16S ribosomal RNA". It matches the Rfam family "Bacterial small subunit ribosomal RNA", at positions 100 to 334 of the family's 1533-position model. The record is from RNAcentral.
CGGGACGGGUGAGUAAUGUCGUAGGAAUCGCCGAUGGAGGGGGAUAACUACUGGAAACGGUAGCUAAUACCGCAUAACGUCGCAAGACCAAAGAGGGGGACCUUCGGGCCUCUUGCCAUCGGAUGUGCCCAGAUGGGAUUAGCUAGUAGGUGGGGUAACGGCUCACCUAGGCGACGAUCCCUAGCUGGUCUGAGAGGAUGACCAGCCACACUGGAACUGAGACACGGUCCAG